CCUACGGGCGGCUGCAGUGGGGAAUAUUGGACAAUGGGCGAAAGCCUGAUCCAGCCAUGCCGCGUGUGUGAAGAAGGCCUUCGGGUUGUAAAGCACUUUCAGUGGGGAAGAAAGCCUUGGGGCUAAUACCCUCGAGGAAGGACAUCACCCACAGAAGAAGCACCGGCUAACUCCGUGCCAGCAGCCGCGGUAAUACGGAGGGUGCGAGCGUUAAUCGGAAUUACUGGGCGUAAAGCGCGCGUAGGCGGUCUGAUAAGCCGGUUGUGAAAGCCCCGGGCUCAACCUGGGAACGGCAUCCGGAACUGUCAGGCUAGAGUGCAGGAGAGGAAGGUAGAAUUCCCGGUGUAGCGGUGAAAUGCGUAGAGAUCGGGAGGAAUACCAGUGGCGAAGGCGGCCUUCUGGACUGACACUGACGCUGAGGUGCGAAAGCGUGGGUAGCAAACAGGAUUAGAUCCCCUUGUAGUC
This 465-nucleotide ribosomal RNA is filed under the name Vreelandella stevensii. RNAcentral's name for it is "partial 16S ribosomal RNA". It matches the Rfam family "Bacterial small subunit ribosomal RNA", at positions 338 to 795 of the family's 1533-position model. The record is from RNAcentral. Lineage: Bacteria; Pseudomonadati; Pseudomonadota; Gammaproteobacteria; Oceanospirillales; Halomonadaceae.